CACGUAGGGUGCAAGCGUUGUCCGGAAUUAUUGGGCGUAAAGGGCUCGUAGGCGGUCCGUCACGUCGGGAGUGAAAACUCGGGGCUCAACCCCGAGCCUGCUUUCGAUACGGGCGGACUAGAGGUAGGUAGGGGAGAACGGAAUUCCUGGUGUAGCGGUGGAAUGCGCAGAUAUCAGGAGGAACACCGGUGGCGAAGGCGGUUCUCUGGGCCUUACCUGACGCUGAGGAGCGAAAGCCAGGGGAGCAAACGGG
This 253-nucleotide ribosomal RNA is filed under the name uncultured bacterium. Its description in RNAcentral is "partial 16S ribosomal RNA". It matches the Rfam family "Bacterial small subunit ribosomal RNA", at positions 524 to 776 of the family's 1533-position model. The record is from RNAcentral.